Long non-coding RNA from Peromyscus eremicus (cactus mouse), 297 nucleotides. RefSeq lists it as uncharacterized. NCBI's taxonomy places the organism in Eukaryota, Metazoa, Chordata, Mammalia, Rodentia, Cricetidae. The record is from RefSeq and is a predicted model, not a curated record. The transcript is spliced from 2 exons.
UCAUGAUGAGCAAGGCAUGGAGGCAGGUGACUCCUCGGCAGCAAGAGUGUGUGACUGGGAUUCCUCACCUCCUCAGGUCUUAGUGGAGCAGGAGAGCAGAGGGUGAACAGAAAGAGGGCUCAGGAUAUAAAACAUCAAGAGCUGUCUCACACCGACCCAGAUCAUCCAGCCCACCGUGGUUGAGGACUGUUGAUGGAAGCCGGAAGUGAUCAGCGAGUUCCUGUUCCCACUGAGCAUCUAUCUCCUCACUGUCUCUCCAGGAGAGCCCCAACGAAUAUGAAAGAGUUUUUUCUGCCA